This 418-nucleotide ribosomal RNA is filed under the name uncultured bacterium. Its description in RNAcentral is "bacterial SSU rRNA". It matches the Rfam family "Bacterial small subunit ribosomal RNA", at positions 917 to 1333 of the family's 1533-position model. The record is from RNAcentral.
GGACCCGCACAAGUAGUGGAGCAUGUGGUUUAAUUCGAAGAUACGCGCAGAACCUUACCAACACUUGACAUGUUCGUCGCGACUCCAAGAGAUUGGAGUUUUCGGUUUGGCCGGACGAAACACAGGUGCUGCAUGGCUGUCGUCAGCUCGUGUCGUGAGAUGUUGGGUUAAGUCCCGCAACGAGCGCAACCCUCACUUUUAGUUGCCAUCAUUAAGUUGGGCACUCUGAAAGAACUGCCAGUGAUAAGCUGGAGGAAGGUGGGGAUGACGUCAAGUCCUCAUGGCCCUUACGUGUUGGGCUACACACGUGCUACAAUGGUAUCUACAACAGGAAGCAAGACUGCGAAGUUAAGCAAAUCCUUAAAAGAUACCUCAGUUCGGAUUGCACUCUGCAACUCGAGUGCAUGAAGCUGGAAUU